CCUACGGGGGGCUGCAGUAAGGAAUAUUGGUCAAUGGACGAAAGUCUGAACCAGCCAUGCCGCGUGGAGGAUGAAGGUCCUCUGGAUUGUAAACUUCUUUUAUAUGGGACGAAAAAAGGCCUUUCUAGGCCGUCUGACGGUACCAUAUGAAUAAGCACCGGCUAACUCCGUGCCAGCAGCCGCGGUAAUACGGAGGGUGCAAGCGUUAUCCGGUUUCAAGGGGGCGUAGGUGUGCUGAGAAGUCUUGGGAUAAAUCUCCGAGCGUAACUUGGAAACUGCCAUUGAUACUAUGAAUCUUGAAUAUUGUGGAGGUUAGCGGAAUAUGUCAUGUAGCGGUGAAAUGCUUAGAUAUGACAUAGAACACCAAUUGCGAAGGCAGCUGGCUACACAUAUAUUGACACUGAGGCACGAAAGCGUGGGGAUCAAACAGGAUUAGAUACCCCUGUAGUC
Molecule: ribosomal RNA, 450 nt
Filed under: uncultured bacterium
Lineage: Bacteria
Description: partial 16S ribosomal RNA
Rfam family: Bacterial small subunit ribosomal RNA
Source: RNAcentral